UGGAGCGGGUGCUGGUGAAACUCCUGGUGCUGCUGGACCGAGUGGAAGCCCAACUGAUAGCCCGACUGAAUCAGAAGAAAGUUCCAAGGAUGAAAGCUCCAAGGAUGAAAGCUCCAAAGAUGAAAGCUCUAAGGAUGAAAGUUCCAAGGAUGAAAGCUCUAAAGAUGAAAGCUCCAAGGAUGAAAGCUCUAAGGAUGACAGCUCCAAGGAUGAAAGCUCCAAAGAUGAAAACUCCAAAGAUGAAAGCUCCAAAGAUGAAAGCUCUAAGGAUGAAAGCUCCAAAGAUGAAAGCUCUAAGGAUGAAAGCUCCAAAGAUGAAAGCUCUAAGGAUGAAAGCUCAAAAGAUGAGAGCUCAAAAGAUGAAAGCUCCAAGGAUGAAAGCUCAAAAGAUGAAAGCUCCAAGGAUGAAAGCUCCAAGGAUGAGAGCUCAAAAGAUGAAAGCUCUAAGGAUGAAAGCUCCAAAGGUGAAAGCUCAGCUGAAUCAGGAGAAAGUUCCAAGGAAGCUAGUGGUGGAAGCUCUACUGAGACCCAAAGUGAAACUGGUGCCGAAAGUGGAAGCACUGCCGGUGGUCCUAGUGGUGAACCCUCUGGCGAUGCUGGUGCCGGUGCUCCAAGCGGAAGUACAUCUGAUAUGUCGGCAGGAGGAGCAAGUGCUUCAGGCGGUGCGAGUGAAACUUCAACUCAAACCUCUGCCGAAGGAGAAAGCUCAAUGAAUAGUGGAGGUUCCUACGCGGACACUACAGGUGGUAGCGCGGAAGGUUCCGCCAGUAGCCCUUCUGGUUCAGCGUCGGGUAGUAGUGAGACCUCCUCCAUCACCGGAAGUGAAAAUUCAUCUUACCAAGCUGGAGGAUCAUCUGCCGGAGGCCCGAGUGGAAGUACAACGGAACAAAGUUCGGAGGCUGGAGCUGCGGGUUCAACCGAAGGUGGUAGUGGAGCCUCAGUAAAUCAAUCUGUCAAAGGAAAAGUGGGGGCAACGAGCUAUGAAGGUUCUUCUAGCUACAAAAAGUCACACUCACAAACCUCAGAGUCAGGCCAGAGCAGCUUCAAAACAGAGAAAAAAGCCGGCUCGUCUUAAAUUAAACUCGUCGGUUCUCGGACCAUAUAGGUCGGAAACACAUAUUAAUACUAUAAUUACAAUAAAGCAAUGGCCCUGCUAACAAUUACAGCAGCGAGCUGUAGAAUGUUUUUUGCUAAAUACUAGAGAAUUACUGACAUGCGUUAGCCUUACUGCAUGCAUAAUUUUGGUUUUUUUUUUCUCUCUUUAAUUUCCGUUGUAAAAUAUGAAUAUAAAAGAAUUGUGAGUAUGUAUACAUGACACAUUAAAUAGUGAGAAAGUAAUAAUAAUAAUAAUAAUUUAUAUGCAUAUCCUAUCAAAUUUUUUGUUCAGUCUCCUCUUUUUAUUUUUUUCUUUUAAGUUUAACAUUUCCCAAAUUAAAAUAUUCUUCAUGUGAACUUCUCUUUAUAUGCAUAUAUCAUAAGAAAUCGUUCUCCAGCUUUAACAAGAACCCAAUGGCUCUAUUAGAGAUGUACCGCCCU
Molecule: long non-coding RNA, 1536 nt
Filed under: Brassica rapa (field mustard)
Lineage: Eukaryota; Viridiplantae; Streptophyta; Magnoliopsida; Brassicales; Brassicaceae
Description: long non-coding RNA (BRAP_LNC004657)
Source: RNAcentral